RNAcentral lists this ribosomal RNA (549 nucleotides) under Triticum aestivum (bread wheat). RNAcentral's name for it is "partial small subunit ribosomal RNA". Lineage: Eukaryota; Viridiplantae; Streptophyta; Magnoliopsida; Poales; Poaceae. The record is from RNAcentral.
AUGAGAGAUAGAAGUAUGCAUGGCCGGGAUCGAUCGAUCCCUUAUUCGAAGCCAGCCGCUUCAGAAGCGGAACGAAAAGCAACCACGAUGACAAGAACGGAAAAGAACAACAGGUACGUGGAAUAUCAAAUCAUACGAAUCGACGGAACGCACGCUUGCACGCCCGCCGGCUGGUCACGCCCUCACAGCCACAAGCAUGCACGCUCAUCGCGUACUUGCGUCGUCCUAGUGCAGCGGCGUCCUCAGCAUGCAGUUGUUGUAGCAGACCCCGUUGCACUGGAAGGUCUCCAGGUUGCAGUCGCAGAUGCAGAGCUGGACGCAGAUCACGCACUGGGAGCAGCCGGGAACGCAGAAGCGGCAGGCGCCCUCGACGCAGAUGGGGCAGUUGCCGGGGACGCAGAUGGGCGCGGGCACCGCGGCCGACGCCGGAGCGGCCAUCAGCACCUGCCUGGCGAACAGGGCCAGCAUGCACAUGGUGGCCAUCUUAAGCGCGGCGCUGCUGGAAGCCAUUGCUUGCUUAUGAAUCUCGGUCGAUCAAGAGCAAGCUAG